This 1438-nucleotide ribosomal RNA is filed under the name metagenome. Its description in RNAcentral is "bacterial LSU rRNA". It matches the Rfam family "Bacterial large subunit ribosomal RNA", at positions 1508 to 2925 of the family's 2925-position model. The record is from RNAcentral.
CCAAAAAAGGCGGUAGGCAUGAUUCUUAGGCAAAUCCGGGAAUCUCUAUGCCGAGCACCGAGACGAGUCCUAUGAGGACGAAGUGACUGACACCACGCUUCCAGGAAAAGCCACUAAGCUUCAGCUGUAGAAAAACCGUACCGCAAACCGACACAGGUAGGCAGGGUGAGAAUCCCAAGGCGCUUGAGAGAACUCGGGUGAAGGAACUAGGCAAAAUGGCACCGUAACUUCGGGAGAAGGUGCGCCUCUUGGUGUGGUCACGUGCGUGACUGAGCAUCGAGGGGUCGCAGUAACCUGGCCGCUGCGACUGUUUAUCAAAAACACAGCACUCUGCAAACACGAAAGUGGACGUAUAGGGUGUGACGCCUGCCCGGUGCUGGAAGGUUAAUUGAUGGGGUCAGCCGCAAGGCGAAGCUCUUGAUCGAAGCCCCAGUAAACGGCGGCCGUAACUAUAACGGUCCUAAGGUAGCGAAAUUCCUUGUCGGGUAAGUUCCGACCUGCACGAAUGGCGUAACGACAGCGGCCUGUCUCCACCCGAGACUCAGUGAAAUUGAAAUCGCUGUGAAGAUGCAGCGUUCCCGCGGCAAGACGGAAAGACCCCGUGAACCUUUACUAUAGCUUUACACUGAACGUUGAGUUCUUCUGUGUAGGAUAGGUGGGAUGCUAUGAAACCAGGACGCUAGUUCUGGUGGAGCCAUCCUUGAAAUACCACCCUGAAGUGCUUGACGUUCUAACCUAGGUCCGUAAUCCGGAUCGGGGACCGUCUAGGGUGGGUAGUUUGACUGGGGCGGUCUCCUCCCAAAGAGUAACGGAGGAGCACGAAGGUACGCUCAGCGCGGUGGGACAUCGCGCACUGUGUGCAAAGGCAUAAGCGUGCUUGACUGCGAGAUCGACGGAUCAAGCAGGUACGAAAGUAGGUCUUAGUGAUCCGGUGGUUCUGUAUGGAAGGGCCAUCGCUCAACGGAUAAAAGGUACUCCGGGGAUAACAGGCUGAUACCGCCCAAGAGUUCAUAUCGACGGCGGUGUUUGGCACCUCGAUGUCGGCUCAUCACAUCCUGGGGCUGUAGCCGGUCCCAAGGGUAUAGCUGUUCGCCAUUUAAAGUGGUACGCGAGCUGGGUUCAGAACGUCGUGAGACAGUUCGGUCCCUAUCUGUCGUGGGCGUUGGAGAUUUGAGGGGGGCUGCUCCUAGUACGAGAGGACCGGAGUGGACGUUCCGCUGGUGUUCGGGUUGUCAUGCCCAUGGCAUUGCCCGGUAGCUACGAACGGAAGUGAUAACCGCUGAAAGCAUCUAAGCGGGAAGCACGCCCCAAGAUGAGAUCUCCCGAGAGCUUGACUCUCCUAAAGGCACCAUCAAGACUAGGUGGUUGAUAGGCACGGUGUGGAAGUGCAGCAAUGCAUUGAGCCUACGUGUACUAAUGAGCCGUGAGGCUUGACCAA